This 1627-nucleotide long non-coding RNA is filed under the name Cricetulus griseus (Chinese hamster). RNAcentral describes it as "lncRNA (ENSCGRG00015040022.1)". The record is from RNAcentral. Lineage: Eukaryota; Metazoa; Chordata; Mammalia; Rodentia; Cricetidae.
CUUUCGCCCGAGAGCUUAGCCCUGGGUAGGAAAUGCCCUUCCAGCAGGUCAGAGAGAGGUACAUGAUUGCCUGGCUCCGUGUCUUGUCUCCUGCUUAGGAUUUCAGAUGAACAACCCUUGCACAGGUUCUCUGCCCGGGGUCAUUUAUCAUACAGAUGGCAGAGGAAGGGGGCGGGUAGGUGCUCUCAGGCAAGGUUGGAAAGUUACCUCUAAGGCAGAGACAAAGGAAGAGGCUUGGCCUUCUAAAGGCCCCCUGCACACAAGCUGGAACAGGAGAGAGACAGGAAGACCUGCAGAGGGAGAAAAGUGGAAAGGAACUGGACAAACCACCAUCUGAAGCAAGUACCUGCUUUGUGAGCCUGGACAAGUCCCUACAGAGGAACAGAGAAGAACACUGGUUAUGGGACUUGCCCAGUUACAGGGGCCGUCCACAGAGGAGUGUGUCUUAGAGCUCAAACCUCCGCCUGGCUGGCAUCUCACUUGUUCCUGGCUGACCCGGUGAAAAGGACCAAUUAGAAUCUUGCAUCAGGAAUUCCUGAAAGUCUAGAACACAGAUCUGUGUUGAAAUGCUACAUGUGGAAGAGGUCCCAGCUUGUUUGGAGUGACUCUUGCCCAGAUGAUUUCAUCAAGGGACUUCUGCGUGAGCUCUUUCAGGAAAUGAUUUCGUCUGAGAAGCACAGUGUAAGAGGCAUGAAGAAGUCAACUCUGCCACCUCCAAGUUAGAAAAAGAGGAAACUUGGCCAAAUCACACCCAGCAUCUGUGACCAAUGAGCCUUGAGUCAGGCCUGAAAGAGAAUUUAAAAGAAAAAAAAUCAAAAACAACAGUUGUCUCAAAUACCUUGCUCCUUGGGUACCUUGGUUGUAUGAGACUCUCUCUGCAUGGCACAAAUGGGCACCAGAGGGGCUAUUUCAGCCCUGCUAUGCCAGCCCUCAAUGUGGCACUACAGCUCUAUUUGUUUUGAGUUUAUACCAUGUGUACUCGGUGCAUGCACACAUUUUAUUGUCUCUGAAAUCAGGGUGUCUGUUAGUGGCAGUGACAUCUUUGAUUUACUCAUGUUGCAGGGGACACGUGCUAGCCAUGCAUCCUCAGAUCUCACUAGAGUUUUAUUACAAAGUUGUUAGCAAUAUUUUGUUUAAAAUUUUGCACAUGCUUUGUUGUCUUCUCAGCUGAAUACAAACACUUGACCUUUUGACAUCCUGGUAGAAUGUGCCUCUAAUUAUAAUGCACUACUAAAUAUAAAUACAACUUCUCUUUUUAACCCCUUUAUUUCCCCCAGAGAUAACCACCAGGGCUUAAGGGCCUGAUGUGUAUACUUUGAUUUCUGAACUCUCUAUAGAAGAUAUUUGUGUUUUUACAACAAUGGCAUCGUGCCAUGGAAAGAUCUGUAACAUGAUGUCCAUCACAUUGAAACUUAACAUCCUCUUUUGAGUCCAAAACAUGGCUCUCAUGUUUUGUGAUGACUGUAUGUGUUCUGUUGUGUGGGUGUAGCAUUAUUUAUAUACCUAAUCACCAAAUUUAUAUACCUAAUCAUCAAAUUACUCAUUGUAAAGGAUGGGUUCUGGUAAUUUUUGAUAAGCACUAAUUAUUUCUCACAUUUAUGCAUAUGUGUAUGCAUAUAUAUAAAAC